This 483-nucleotide ribosomal RNA is filed under the name Escherichia coli. Its description in RNAcentral is "partial 23S ribosomal RNA". It matches the Rfam family "Bacterial large subunit ribosomal RNA", at positions 2259 to 2741 of the family's 2925-position model. RNAcentral also lists the same sequence under 4 other names. Lineage: Bacteria; Pseudomonadati; Pseudomonadota; Gammaproteobacteria; Enterobacterales; Enterobacteriaceae. The record is from RNAcentral.
UGGUGGGUAGUUUGACUGGGGCGGUCUCCUCCUAAAGAGUAACGGAGGAGCACGAAGGUUGGCUAAUCCUGGUCGGACAUCAGGAGGUUAGUGCAAUGGCAUAAGCCAGCUUGACUGCGAGCGUGACGGCGCGAGCAGGUGCGAAAGCAGGUCAUAGUGAUCCGGUGGUUCUGAAUGGAAGGGCCAUCGCUCAACGGAUAAAAGGUACUCCGGGGAUAACAGGCUGAUACCGCCCAAGAGUUCAUAUCGACGGCGGUGUUUGGCACCUCGAUGUCGGCUCAUCACAUCCUGGGGCUGAAGUAGGUCCCAAGGGUAUGGCUGUUCGCCAUUUAAAGUGGUACGCGAGCUGGGUUUAGAACGUCGUGAGACAGUUCGGUCCCUAUCUGCCGUGGGCGCUGGAGAACUGAGGGGGGCUGCUCCUAGUACGAGAGGACCGGAGUGGACGCAUCACUGGUGUUCGGGUUGUCAUGCCAAUGGCACUGC